RNAcentral lists this ribosomal RNA (460 nucleotides) under uncultured bacterium. Its description in RNAcentral is "partial 16S ribosomal RNA". It matches the Rfam family "Bacterial small subunit ribosomal RNA", at positions 338 to 795 of the family's 1533-position model. The record is from RNAcentral.
CCUACGGGAGGCAGCAGUGAGGAAUAUUGGUCAAUGGCCGUAAGGCUGAACCAGCCAAGUCGCGUGAAGGAAGAAGGAUCUAUGGAUUGUAAACCUCUUUUAUAGGGGAAUAAAGGUAUCCACGUGUGGCUAUUUGCAUGUACCCUAUGAAUAAGCAUCGGCUAACUCCGUGCCAGCAGCCGCGGUAAUACGGAGGAUGCGAGCGUUAUCCGGAUUUAUUGGGUUUAAAGGGUGCGUAGGUUGUUUUGUAAGUCAGCGGUGAAAGUUUGUGGCUCAACCAUAAGAUUGCCGUUGAAACUGGCAGGCUUGAGUGUGUUUGAGGUAGGCGGAAUGCGUGGUGUAGCGGUGAAAUGCAUAGAUAUCACGCAGAACUCCGAUUGCGAAGGCAGCUUACUAGGCCAUAACUGACACUGAAGCACGAAAGCGUGGGGAUCAAACAGGAUUAGAUACCCGGGUAGUC